UGCAGCCUUGCUCCUCCAGUGUGCGGCGGUGCUCCUCCGGCACGUCGGGCAGCACCGCCACCACGAGAGGAUACGCCGCCUUCACCUUCCGCAGGCCCUUGGCCAGCCCCACCACGCCCUUCACGUAGUCCCCGUUGCCGGCCAAGAAAGUCACGUAGGCCCUCGACGCCACAGCCGCCGGUUUCGCCGCGGUAACGAGCUCGGGAGCCAUGGGAUGUAUUGCUAAAAAAGAGGUGAAUUUGAAGUUGGUUCUUUUUUGUUUGAAGAGGGAAAACUAAAUUGAAUCUUCUUUUUACUUUGCUGAAACUGAAAGAGAGGGCUUAAUUUCUAAAUUAAUUUGGUUUCUUGGUAAUAU
This 355-nucleotide long non-coding RNA is filed under the name Salvia miltiorrhiza (redroot sage). Its description in RNAcentral is "long non-coding RNA (SMIL_LNC005476)". The record is from RNAcentral. Lineage: Eukaryota; Viridiplantae; Streptophyta; Magnoliopsida; Lamiales; Lamiaceae.